GUCUCCAUGGCGUAAUGGUUAGCACAUCUGCUUUGCACACAGAAGGUCCUGGGUUCGUGCCCUUGGUGGAGCCA
Molecule: transfer RNA, 74 nt
Filed under: Pteropus alecto (black flying fox)
Lineage: Eukaryota; Metazoa; Chordata; Mammalia; Chiroptera; Pteropodidae
Also listed under: 1 other name
Rfam family: tRNA
About the family: Transfer RNA (tRNA) molecules are approximately 80 nucleotides in length.
Source: Rfam by way of RNAcentral